Long non-coding RNA from Mytilus californianus (California mussel), 718 nucleotides. RefSeq lists it as uncharacterized. The record is from RefSeq and is a predicted model, not a curated record. NCBI's taxonomy places the organism in Eukaryota, Metazoa, Mollusca, Bivalvia, Mytilida, Mytilidae. The transcript has 2 exons.
UUUUUGUGUGGUAAAUGGCUAUCUUUAGAUAGCGAAGACGGCAAAACAUGGCGAAGUGUAGAAGUCCUCGAUGAAAAUGAUAUUGAAACAGAUACAUUAUUUUAUAAUUUGACUCAAAAGAAACUAUUUGAUGAUCAUUUGUGGAUGUCGCUUUUCAAAAGACCCAGAUGUAGUCGGUUUACAAGAGUUCAGAGGUUAUGGUGUUUAUUGGCCCUAUUGUUCCUGGCUAUGAUAUCAUCUGCCAUGUGGUAUGACACACCAGAUGACAACAAGAUGCAGACGAUAAGUGUUGGGCCGCUUAAGUUAAACUACAAACAAUUUUACGUUGGAUUGAUGUCUGGUCUUAUAGCACUGGUUCCAAGUAUGUUAUUAGUGUUAAUAUUUAAAAACCGAAAAUUCAAGGGAGAAAAAACUGCCGGUUGUCAUGUACCGUGGUGGUUUAUUUUUCUGGCUUACAUUCUGGUAUUUUUGUGUGUCGGUACAAGCGGAACGUUUGUUUUCCUAUACUCCCUGCAAUGGGGAGGACCCAAGUCAUUAGAAUGGAUGGUUUCAUUUGUAUUGGCAAUUUUCCAGAGUGUUAUUAUCCUAGAACCUGUUAAGGCAAUAUUAUUAGCCAUUUUUGUAGCAUGUCUAUUUAAAAAGAUGGGAAGCAGGGAAUUAGCCGACAAAAACAUGGUAAUUCCGGUUGUAGAAACAAUUAAAGAUGUGACAGAUCUUG